RNAcentral lists this ribosomal RNA (301 nucleotides) under uncultured bacterium. Its description in RNAcentral is "partial 16S ribosomal RNA". It matches the Rfam family "Bacterial small subunit ribosomal RNA", at positions 509 to 807 of the family's 1533-position model. The record is from RNAcentral.
CAGUCGCCGCGGUAAUACGUAGGGUGCGAGCGUUAAUCGGAAUUACUGGGCGUAAAGCGUGCGCAGGCGGUUUUGUAAGACAGGCGUGAAAUCCCCGGGCUCAACCUGGGAAUGGCGCUUGUGACUGCAAAGCUAGAGUGCGGCAGAGGGGGAUGGAAUUCCGCGUGUAGCAGUGAAAUGCGUAGAUAUGCGGAGGAACACCGAUGGCGAAGGCAGCUGCCUGGCCUAAUACUGACGCUGAGGUGUGAAAGCGUGGGGAGCGAACGGGAUUAGAUACCCGUGUAGUCCCUGUCUCUUAUAC